CAAACUCCGAAUGCCAAUUAAUUUAACUUGGGAGUCAGAACAUGGGUGAUAAGGUCCGUGUUCGAAAGGGAAACAGCCCAGACCACCAGCUAAGGUCCCAAAAUAUAUGUUAAGUGGAAAAGGAUGUGGCGUUGCCCAGACAACUAGGAUGUUGGCUUAGAAGCAGCCAUCAUUUAAAGAGUGCGUAAUAGCUCACUAGUCGAGUGACACUGCGCCGAAAAUGUACCGGGGCUAAACAUAUUACCGAAGCUGUGGAUUGUCCUUUGGACAAUGGUAGGAGAGCGUUCUAAGG
This 292-nucleotide ribosomal RNA is filed under the name Staphylococcus aureus. RNAcentral describes it as "partial 23S ribosomal RNA". It matches the Rfam family "Bacterial large subunit ribosomal RNA", at positions 950 to 1246 of the family's 2925-position model. Lineage: Bacteria; Bacillati; Bacillota; Bacilli; Caryophanales; Staphylococcaceae. The record is from RNAcentral.